GACGAACGCUGGCGGCGUGCUUAACACAUGCAAGUCGAACGAUGAAGCCCUUUCGGGGGUGGAUUAGUGGCGAACGGGUGAGUAACACGUGGGUAACCUGCCCUGUACCCUGGGAUAAGCCUUGGAAACGAGGUCUAAUACCGGAUAUGACCUGCUCUCGCAUGGGGGUGGGUGGAAAGUUUUGGCGGUGCAGGAUGGACCCGCGGCCUAUCAGCUUGUUGGUGGGGUGAUGGCCUACCAAGGCGACGACGGGUAGCCGGCCUGAGAGGGCGACCGGCCACACUGGGACUGAGACACGGCCCAGACUCCUACGGGAGGCAGCAGUGGGGAAUAUUGCACAAUGGGCGAAAGCCUGAUGCAGCGACGCCG
RNAcentral lists this ribosomal RNA (369 nucleotides) under uncultured bacterium. Its description in RNAcentral is "bacterial SSU rRNA". It matches the Rfam family "Bacterial small subunit ribosomal RNA", at positions 28 to 399 of the family's 1533-position model. The record is from RNAcentral.